This 1089-nucleotide long non-coding RNA is filed under the name Oryctolagus cuniculus (rabbit). RNAcentral describes it as "lncRNA (ENSOCUG00000031295.1)". Lineage: Eukaryota; Metazoa; Chordata; Mammalia; Lagomorpha; Leporidae. The record is from RNAcentral.
AUGAGUACUGUAAAAUAUAAAGAAGAGCAGAGGAGACAGAAGCUAACAGUAAACAAAACUGAGCAGGAAGGAGGAAGUGGGGGAGACAGUUUUCCAGGCUUUCUCUCCAUCUUCAUUUUCCAGAUCAUACUCCACUAUCUCUCAAUUCAAAUUUGCCCAGCGAACAGGAAGAUGAGGAGGGAAGCAUGAUCAAACUGGAUGUCAAAACGUAGGAGAGAACCAGCAACUCUCAGGAACUGUAAUAAGUUCGCCACUGUUGGAGCAUGAAGAACAAAGAGAGAAGUGGCAAGGGACCACCAGACUUGGAUAAACACUUUACAUGCUCUUAAAGAUUUGUUAACUCUAUCCUAAAGGAAAUGUGGAACUUCGUCAUGUGAUAUAUUAAAUGGGAAUAAGAAACAACUGGUAGACUGUUCAAAGAAAAAACUGAAGAAGAGUAUACAGAUUGGCAAUACACAUGUACCUUCAACAGAAUAAUCAAGAAUAAUACUAAAUAUUAAAGAGAAGGAAUAUGAGCAUCCAACAGAGAUUUAUAAAGAGUUCAGAAAGAUAGGAGAUAAGUGGGAAAGCAUAUUGUUGCAGAAUCUACUGAAACUCUGAAACAGCAGAGUUACCAACAUCACCUAACUUAGUUUCUUUUUUUUUUUUUUUUUUGCUAUUUUUUUAUUUUAUUUAAUGAACAUAAAUUUCCAAAGUACAGCUUAUGGAUUACAAUAGCUUCCCCCCCCCAUAACUUCCCUCCCCCCCAAAACACUCCCCUCUCCCACUCCCUCUCCCCUUCCAUUCACAUCAAGAUUAAUUUUCAAUUCUUUAUAUACAGAAGAUCAAUUUAGCAUAUAUUAAGUAAAGAUUUCAACAGUUUGCACCCACACAGAAACACAAAGUGUAAAAUACUAUUUGAGUUCUAGUUAUAGCAUUAAUUAAACACCUACAAGUAAUUGUGUAUUAAUUACAGAGUUCAACCAAUAGUUUUAAGUAGAACAUAAAAAAUACUAAAAGGGUAAAGUAUUAAGUUCUUUUUUUUUCUUUUUCUUUUUUUUUGUUAUAUAGUUUUUUUUUUAUUUAAUAAAUGUGAAUUUACAAAGUGCA